ACUGCGAGUGAAGCGGGAAAAGCUCAAAUUUAAAAUCUGGCGGUCUCUGGCCGUCCGAGUUGUAAUCUAGAGAAGUAAUGCCCGUGCUGGACCGUGUAUAAGUCUCCUGGGAUGGGGCGUCAUAGAGGGUGAGAAUCCCGUCUUUGACACGGACUACCAGUGCAUUGUGGUAUGCUCUCAAAGAGUCGAGUUGUUUGGGAAUGCAGCUCAAAAUGGGUGGUAAAUUCCAUCUAAAGCUAAAUAUUGGCGAGAGACCGAUAGCGAACAAGUACCGUGAGGGAAAGAUGAAAAGAACUUUGGAAAGAGAGUUAAACAGUACGUGAAAUUGCUGAAAGGGAAACGCUUGAAGUCAGUCGCGUUGGCCAGGGAUCAGCCUUGCUUUUGCAUGGUGUACUUUCUGGUUGACGGGUCAGCAUCAAUUUCGACCGCUGGAAAAGGUCCUGGGGAAUGUGGCAGCUCCGGCUGUGUUAUAGCCCCUGGUCGCAUACAGUGGUUGGGAUUGAGGAACUCAGCACGCCGCAAGGCCGGGUUUCGACCACGUUCGUGCUUAGGAUGCUGGCAUAAUGGCUUUAAGCGACCCGUCUUGAAACACGGACCAAGGAGUCUAACAUGCCUGCGAGUAUUUGGGUGGAAAACCCGAGUGCGCAAUGAAAGUGAAAGUUGAGAUCCCUGUCGUGGGGAGCAUCGACGCCCGGACCAGAACUUUUGGGACGGAUCCGCGGUGGAGCAUGUAUGUUGGGACCCGAAAGAUGGUGAACUAUGCCUGAAUAGGGUGAAGCCAGAGGAAACUCUGGUGGAGGCUCGUAGCGAUUCUGACGUGCAAAUCGAUCGUCAAAUUUGGGUAUAGGGGCGAAAG
RNAcentral lists this ribosomal RNA (856 nucleotides) under Agaricus chiangmaiensis. RNAcentral describes it as "partial large subunit ribosomal RNA". It matches the Rfam family "Eukaryotic large subunit ribosomal RNA", at positions 86 to 929 of the family's 3401-position model. Lineage: Eukaryota; Fungi; Basidiomycota; Agaricomycetes; Agaricales; Agaricaceae. The record is from RNAcentral.